Molecule: ribosomal RNA, 524 nt
Filed under: uncultured bacterium
Lineage: Bacteria
Description: partial 16S ribosomal RNA
Rfam family: Bacterial small subunit ribosomal RNA
Source: RNAcentral
GACGAACGCUGGCGGCGUGCCUAAUACAUGCAAGUCGGACGCUUCUUUCCUCCCGAGUGCUUGCACUCAAUUGGAAAGAGGAGUGGCGGACGGGUGAGUAACACGUGGGUAACCUACCCAUCAGAGGGGGAUAACACUUGGAAACAGGUGCUAAUACCGCAUAACAGUUUAUGCCGCAUGGCGUAAGAGUGAAAGGCGCUUUCGGGUGUCGCUGAUGGAUGGACCCGCGGUGCAUUAGCUAGUUGGUGAGGUAACGGCUCACCAAGGCCACGAUGCAUAGCCGACCUGAGAGGGUGAUCGGCCACACUGGGACUGAGACACGGCCCAGACUCCUACGGGAGGCAGCAGUAGGGAAUCUUCGGCAAUGGACGGAAGUCUGACCGAGCAACGCCGCGUGAGUGAAGAAGGUUUUCGGAUCGUAAAACUCUGUUGUUAGAGAAGAACAAGGACGUUAGUAACUGAACGUCCCCUGACGGUAUCUAACCAGAAAGCCACGGCUAACUACGUGCCAGCCGCCGCGGUAA